CCCUUGAUAGCUCAGUUGGAAGAGCGACAGACUGUAAUUGGACAAUCUGGAUGCUGUGCAUCUGUAGGUCACCGGUUCGAACCCGGUUCGAGGGA
Molecule: transfer RNA, 95 nt
Organism: Melampsora larici-populina 98AG31
Lineage: Eukaryota; Fungi; Basidiomycota; Pucciniomycetes; Pucciniales; Melampsoraceae
Rfam family: tRNA
About the family: Transfer RNA (tRNA) molecules are approximately 80 nucleotides in length. Their secondary structure includes four short double-helical elements and three loops (D, anti-codon, and T loops). Further hydrogen bonds mediate the characteristic L-shaped molecular structure. tRNAs have two regions of fundamental functional importance: the anti-codon, which is responsible for specific mRNA codon recognition, and the 3' end, to which the tRNAs corresponding amino acid is attached (by aminoacyl-tRNA synthetases). tRNAs cope with the degeneracy of the genetic code in two manners: having more than one tRNA (with a specific anti-codon) for a particular amino acid; and 'wobble' base-pairing, i.e. permitting non-standard base-pairing at the 3rd anti-codon position.
Source: Rfam